ACACACCCCAGUACACCAGCAGAGGAAACUUAUAACCUCGGGAGGCAGGUCCUUCCCCUCAGUGCGGUUGCAUACUUCCAGAAGAGCGGACCAGGGCUGCUGCCAGCACCUGCCACUCAGAGCGCCUCUGUCGCUGGGACCCUUCAGAACUCUCUUUGCUCACGAGUUACCAAAAAAAAAGAGCCAAGAUGUUGGUAUUGCUGGCUGGUAUCUUUGUGGUCCACAGACCUACUGCACUGAGUUAAAAUAGCGGUACAAGUUCUGGCAAGAGCAGAUACUGUCUUUGUGCUGAAUACGCUAAGCCUGGAAGCCAUCCUGCCCUUCUGACCCAAAGCAAAACAUCACAUUCCAGUCUGAAGUGCCUACUGGGGGGCUUUGGCCUGUGAGCCAUUGUCCCUCUUUGGAACAGAUAUUUAGCUCUGUGGAAUUCAGUGACAAAAUGGGAGGAGGAGAGAGAGUUUGUAAGGUCAUGCUGGUGGGUUAGCUAAACCAAGAAGGAGACCUUUUCACAAUGGAAAACCUGGGGGAUGGUCAGAGCCCAGUCCAGACCUCACACACGGCUGUUCCUCAUGGAGACC
This 578-nucleotide small RNA is filed under the name Pan troglodytes (chimpanzee). RNAcentral describes it as "processed transcript". The record is from RNAcentral. Lineage: Eukaryota; Metazoa; Chordata; Mammalia; Primates; Hominidae.